This is an RNA transcript of Scleropages formosus (Asian bonytongue), 6169 nucleotides long. RefSeq lists it as uncharacterized. Lineage: Eukaryota; Metazoa; Chordata; Actinopteri; Osteoglossiformes; Osteoglossidae. The transcript is spliced from 4 exons. The record is from RefSeq and is a predicted model, not a curated record.
GUCGCUCGGUUUGACCCUGCCGAGCCGCCGUGUCUCCCCCCCAAAAUGGCGGAGCCCCUAGACAGGGUGCGCAUCUCGGCCGCUGAGCUGAGAGCCGGAGCGACGAGUUUCGUGGAGCGCGAAGCGGGCACCAGAGGCAUACGGGAAGCAAGAAAAGGUCCUCCACUGGGGAGGAAGCGACCCGACCUCCAGCGCUACCGACCAGGCCAGCGACAGUGUCACAAAGCCGGGGAAACGCAAAAUCUGCAGUGCGGGGGUGGAACGGGAGAGGGAGGAGGAACCGAGCCCUCGGACCGGGUAGCGGACGCUGAUACGGAUGGAAAUGUACAGCCAGAAAAUGUGGACAGCCCCUGCUGUAGUACCGACCUUGUGAAUCUUGGCAACAAGUACAACCACUGUGCUGUAAGUACCCCAAAACCCAGUAGUGGGGUGGUGGGCUUUGACCAAGUGGACCUUGGGAAGCACUCCACUACUGGUUCUCCUGGUGCUGACAGAAAGCCACAAGACAGCAGGCAUCCUGCGCAAAAACACACUCCUGCAAUUGCUGGUGUGCCAGACUCCUCUAGACUGAUGCGCAGGGUACGCAAGCCUGACCGCCAAAUAUACAAACCAGGAUGUUUGAGAGACCAGCACCUGCCACCAGAGUCUCGAUUCGCCAGUCAGGAGCACGGGAACAUGGGCCCUGCUAAGAGGGCUGCGAGAAAUGGUUUGGCUGUGGAGAACCUCACUGCCAAAGUGGAGAAGCUGAACAUGGCACAUGGGGAGGAGGUGGUGGUGGGGCAAGGAGGAGGCAAGGCUUGAAAGAGAGCAGCUGAGAUGUUGGAGACCCUGUACAGGGGACAGGUGUUGAAUUCUGGUCCAAGUCUCUGAGGGCUGGAGCCAGAAGGCUGAGCAGCUGACUCCACUCACUGGACCAGAAUCAGGUGACGCCUAUUUAGUGCUCAUCCUGAUCUCCUGAGUGCCGAGAGGCAAACCAGAAUCCUGUAACGGCCCAGUUGAAGACUGUUUUGCUUGUACUGCAUUUGUAGUGUCUAAGCUCCCACACUUCCUUGCGGUCUACUUCUUCUGGACAGAACCACUGUUCCAGUCGUACAGUGCCGCCACUGCACCAUACCACGGUCAAGGCUGAGCGGCAGAUGGCUUUCUGUUUUGGUCACCAUUCUUUUUGUCUGAUUGUAUUCAGUUUUCAUAGUACUGUACAGUGUUAAUGGAAGCUUAUGCAGUAUGAAUGUUGCAUCCAGGGCUUCGGCUUUCCGUCUUUUAAGGCGCCACUUCAUAAAACCCUUCUUAAAUAAGUUCAAUAUUUAUUAAUACUGUGUUUAAUUCAUAUUGAAUCUGCUUGGGUCCUGUUGGGAUUGUACUUGUUGCAUAGGUGUCCUCUCUGUAGGGUAAAGACUUUCUGGAUGGAGUAGAGUGAUGGAUGACCUGUUGGGGGAUAUGAUGCAAAGCACACUAUUCCAAAUAUUAUUCCACACGUUCAUAUUUCGUUUGUUUGCCCUAUAGCCCUGUAGUAUUUUGAAAAUAUUUUCUGAAGCACACUGAACGUGGAAGUGAUACGUAAUUUCCUCCUAUAGGUGGCACUGUAGUCUAGGGAGAAAAAAGUCCUUAAACUUGACUGGAUCACAAAAUAUAUUAUGCAUUCUUUUGACGGCACUUUAUGUAACUUUGCUUCAAUCCUAAUUUUCCGACAUUUAUAUCUUCAUUUGUUUUCAAUUUAUGUUGUGGAAUAGAGACAUCUGAAUGGAAGGCAUGUUUAUUGUUACGAUACAGUUAAAGAACCUUCUGAAAAGAACUCUCCAAAACGUAACUUGGAAAUUAUCUUAAUUGUAUGCUAGACCUUUGAGAGGCGUAAUCGGUCUGAAGUAUGAGAAUUGGGACAGUCGUGAACGUAGGUCCGGAUCUGUUAGAUAAGCAUUUGUGCAAGAAGUGUGAAUUAAGCUAGCGCUGAUUGUAGCUUCAUGUGGUGGAGUUUGCCCUAAGUGUGGGCUGUGAGUCUGUGUGGUGGCUGAAUACUUGUGACCAUAAAUAUUGUUUUCAGAGCUCAGUUUGCUUAUUUUUUGACCAGCUGGAGUUCACUUACACCUUGGUUCAAGUUCUUGUUUGUGUGUGUGCAUCUGUGUGAGUGGGUUCUGUUGAGCAAACCCUUCCAUGUGCUGGGUUUGAGCUGCACUGGCCAUGCUGCUGGUCUCCUUAACAUUUGGGGGGUACUGGACUGCAGCAUGGUCAUCAUCAAAACCCCUGCUGCCAGAGAACCAGACAGAAGAGAACAGGAAAGAACUAUGUAAACUGCUGCCAUUUUUUUCCUCUCCCUUGAAAUUGAGAGCAAAAUUUAGGUUUAUUUCUGAAUAUUUUAAAUCUGUUAAACCUUCUUGCCUCUCUGUUUCUACAUAAAUUGUACCAACUAUAAAAGCUAUUACAUUAGUGUUGGUCAGGUGUGCGACUUGCUGAAAUAUGUGGAAAUGUUAAGGUUUUCACAUGGAAGCCAGUUACUGCAAAGCCCUCCUGCUCACCUUUGUGAAGACAUUUUUCUGGCCACUGAGAUUUGAGCAAAUGUGCUGACGUGUUGUGACUGGUAUCGAUUUGGGGACGUCUGUGUGCUGGGGAGAACCAGUAUCCUGCUUGAGGAUCAUUGUGAAGUUUUCUGCUUUUGAGACGUUCUACAUGACUGUAACAUAGUCUUCAAGGCUUCUCUACACUGGUCUGUGUGGCAGUUGUCCUCGGGGUUAGACAGUAUGUAGCUGUUUAGGUAUAUGAAUCUUCAUUAAGGAAAGUGUUCACCGCUAAGUUUCUUUAUUUUUUCCCCACCUGUACCUUCGUCACACAUUUUAGAAAAAAGUCCUUAUCAGAAUGGUAACCCCUAAAAAGUAUUGGGAUACUCCUGUGCAGGAAACUCCUCUUUGUAAGUUUAGCCUUUUGUAGGUUUUUAAAUUCUUUAAAAGUGCAUUAUGUGUGUGCCUGUCUGGGCUGCCAAUAAUGCCUGUCUGGUGGCUGAAACAGAUUCAUUAUGUCGAGGGGCUUGCAACAAUGAACCACACUGCCCUUUACUGGGUGGACACUGUGGCAAGAGCUCCUCAGAUAGGAAGAAUCAGUUCCUCGUAUCCUGUUUUCCACCAAAGCUUUUCAGUCACACACACAGCUCGUGCACAUUUUGAACCAGUUUAUACAAGUGAUUGAUUGAUUGACUUUUGACAUUCAGGCUCAUCUUCGCUUUAUGGUACAACCCCAGCUUUUUCUCUGUGUCCCCUUUAGUCUUACAUAAACUUUUACCUUUUUUUUUUUUUUUUUUUUUUAGGUCAUGCAUUUAGUUUUGAAACCACAGGGCAACCUGCAGACAUUAGGCCAUCUUGUUUGUAAAGUGAGGAUAUAGAAAGGGGAAAGAAUGAGGGAUAAGAGGAUCCUAGGCAUGCAAAUACCUGGGACACGAGCUCUGUAGUGCCUCAGGGUUUGCAUCAAAUGAACUGUCAAGCCAUCUUGUCAAGAGUGUUGUGAAGAAAAAUUUUGAAAAUUGCCGACAGUGGCAGGUCUGACUCAGCUGGCCUGAUGUAAGUAAUGUGUUUAUUAUAUAGCAGUACUAUAGUUCAUUUCUCUGAAAAUUUUAUUGCGCAUGGCUUUUUUCACUCAUUGAAUAUCUUCAAGGUUCAGAAACUGAAUGGAAAAUGUACCAAUUAUAAGGCCAUAUGUGUAGUACCCUUGAACAAGGUACUUAUGGCUGAUUAUCAAAGCAUUCCUCUAGAGUUUAAGGUCCAUUAAAAAUGAAAUUUCUGCUUUAGGUGUUGUGAGAAAGAGGCUGGGUUGCUCUUUCCAGUAACUGGGGACAUAAAGGCUAAUGAGCUGUUGAGCAGCUUAGAGAAGUGGUGCUGCUGCUUUUUUAUCUGCUUUAUUGAAAACAAGUGCAGGAGCUCAGAGAAAGGUUUUCACGGGCACAAAAAGCACUGCAGAUCAUGAUUCUGCCUGGUCAAGUCAGUCAAAAGAUGGCUGUCAGCACGGAAGGAUGUCAUGAUGGUUCACAUUCAUGAAUGCGAAUGCUCAUUAACAGACAUUGAAGUUCAAAACAGUCAUUUCUCUUCUCUAAGUGCCAUUUGAGAUUUUGCUUAACGAAAACAUCCAGCACAGGGUACAAAACAUCUCCAAAGUCUUGCUGUGCGGUGAAAGACUGACAUGUCCUCUGAAAAAUGCCCUUCGUAACACACAGGUAAUGGCCUAAAAAUGGUGAAGCAAUGUCCUUCCGUAAGCUGCUGGAACAAUCUGGAUACACAAGACAUUUUCCUUGCAUCUCCCACCCUCUUGAGCUGCAAGCCAGCAGCUUCCUCUGCCCUUGUGAAAUGUUAAGCACCUUUAAUUGCUGUUGUAAAUCAUGUUUUUAUUUUGGUCUUGGGGUCCUGUUUGGUUUAUCUUGCAGCAUCGCAGGUGACGGAGAUGAAUGAGCCCCUACGUGGUUAAGGAACACAUUUGCCAGCCCGCUUGUCUUGGCAGGGUCUACGGAAACGCUCCUGUCACUAAUUAAUACAGGGCACGAUUUAUGGUCCACAGAGCGCUGGCUCUGGCCCCUCGCCAACUGGGCCUGCCCAUGACAUUGUUUUAAUGUGUGCUGACUGGGCCGGGGCCAAAGCCCUGUGCAUCACCGCUCGUGUAUGGGGCUGAUGUCUCCCUCUGUCACCACUGAGUCAGGAGGCCUGGGCCAAUGAAACACAAAUGAUUGGUCACAUGGUUGUCUGAAUCAGACAGCGGUCUUGCAAGACCCGUGACAUCUUGAGUGUGAUACCUAGCAAAAAGUUAUUUGAGUGCAAAAUGUUCCAAAUUGUCCUUCUAUUCAAAUGAGCCAUGUAUUUUUAAACUGCUUAUCCUGGUGAGGGUCACAGUGGCAACAUGUCAAGCAGGACACACCAUACUUCCCCUUCCCCUUUCCCAGCAGCAGGCUCCACUAUCUUCUGAGGGAUCCUCCUGUAUUCUCAAGUAGGCCUGGAGACGUAAUCUCUGCAGUGUGUUCUGGGUCUGCCACGUGGCCUCCUCAUAGUAAGCUGUGUUGUGUUGACCUCCUGCAGGAAGCAUUAUGACUAGGUGCUUGAAGGUCAAGCAGGGGCAGCUCAUAGCAUAGUGGCUGCUGCCUUCAGACCCAGCGGUUGAAGGUUUGAAUCCACCUUCAGCUGUAGUACCUUUGAGCAAGGUAUUGCCCCUAAAUUGCUCCAGUAAAGUUACCCAUCUCUUUAAACGGAUACAUAGUUGUAGGUGGCCUAACAUUGUAAGUCACUUUGGAGAAAAAUGUCAGCGAAAUGAAUAAAUGUAAAUGAAAUAUAAGGAAAUGAAGUUGCUCUUUAGUACCAGUAGGGGGCAGGCAUGUUCCUUUGACAGGGUAUUUGGUGUUUGUCAUUGCCGCUGAAGUCUUUUCUCUGGUUUUGGAUUUCAGAUUGUGCACAAGAACUCUGUUCAUGGGCAAAACUAAUAUCCCAAGUUCUUCACUUUUCGUUCACUUUGCAGUCCUGGUCAUGAAAACCAGCUGAAUUCCACUUAUACUCUUCAGCAGGUACUGUACAUUAGCCUAGAAGCAUUUGCACCAGGAGAGAGGUGCACUAUGUACACUCCUGGGCCUGCUGGUGAGCACAGCUCCACCCAGACACCCACCUCUCUGUGGAAUUGGGGUGCAGACCCUGCUGGGGGGGCUCUGCUCAUAGCAAUAAUUAUGCCUCGCUCACCUGUCACUGGAGCUCUUGUUCUGUUAAUGUGCCCCCUCCUCAUCCAGCUGGGCCAUGACCCUUGAACCUGUGGCUUUGUGUGCCUCAUUGCAGAGCGAGCGGGAAAUGAAACAGCCACAAGUUCAAGGAAGGGGCUUCACACACAGACUCUCAGCGGUACGCAUUGUGGGUGUGUGUCUUUUUUGCCAUUACAAAGAAAAAUCUGCUUUCUUUGUGUUCAGUCUGUUUGGGGGCUCGUUUGGAAGGUAAAAAGGCUGUGUAGGGUGUGUGUGUGUGUGUGUGUGUGUGUGUGUGUGUGUAUAAAGUGCCACGUAGGAAGGGGUUGAAUUAGCCAUCCGGAUGUCUGUUCCUUUUGAUGCCCAGUCUUCUCUGAGAAAUGCAGAAACUGCGGAGCAGUGAGGGUGUGGACGUUGAAUCACCGGAGCGGUUUCAUCCGUGGGCGGCACGGUGGUGCAGCGAGUAUCGCAUUACUUGGGUUC